AGCGAACGCUGGCGGCAGGCUUAACACAUGCAAGUCGAGCGGACCUUUCGGGGUCAGCGGCGGAAGGGUGAGUAACGCGUGGGAACGUGCCUUCCGGUUCGGAAUAACCCUGGGAAACUAGGGCUAAUACCGGAUACGCCCUUAUGGGGAAAGGUUUACUGCCGGAAGAUCGGCCCGCGUCUGAUUAGCUAGUUGGUGGGGUAACGGCCUACCAAGGCGACGAUCAGUAGCUGGUCUGAGAGGAUGAUCAGCCACACUGGGACUGAGACACGGCCCAGACUCCUACGGGAGGCAGCAGUGGGGAAUAUUGGACAAUGGGCGCAAGCCUGAUCCAGCCAUGCCGCGUGAGUGAUGAAGGCCUUAGGGUUGUAAAGCUCUUUUAUCCGGGACGAUAAUGACGGUACCGGAGGAAUAAGCCCCGGCUAACUUCGUG
This 433-nucleotide ribosomal RNA is filed under the name uncultured bacterium. RNAcentral's name for it is "partial 16S ribosomal RNA". It matches the Rfam family "Bacterial small subunit ribosomal RNA", at positions 29 to 507 of the family's 1533-position model. The record is from RNAcentral.